This 468-nucleotide ribosomal RNA is filed under the name uncultured bacterium. RNAcentral's name for it is "partial 16S ribosomal RNA". It matches the Rfam family "Bacterial small subunit ribosomal RNA", at positions 28 to 507 of the family's 1533-position model. The record is from RNAcentral.
GACGAACGCUGGCGGCGUGCUUAACACAUGCAAGUCGAACGGAAAGGCCCUGCUUUUGUGGGUUGCUCGAGUGGCGAACGGGUGAGUAACACGUGAGUAACCUGCCCUUGACUUUGGGAUAACUUCAGGAAACUGGGGCUAAUACCGGAUAGGAGCUCCUGCUGCAUGGUGGGGGUUGGAAAGUUUCGGCGGUUGGGGAUGGACUCGCGGCUUAUCAGUUUGUUGGUGGGGUAGUGGCUUACCAAGGCUUUGACGGGUAGCCGGCCUGAGAGGGUGACCGGCCACAUUGGGACUGGGAUACGGCCCAGACUCCUACGGGAGGCAGCAGUGGGGAAUAUUGCACAAUGGGCGGAAGCCUGAUGCAGCAACGCCGCGUGCGGGAUGACGGCCUUCGGGUUGUAAACCGCUUUCGCCUGUGACGAAGCGUGAGUGACGGUAAUGGGUAAAGAAGCACCGGCUAACUACGUG